This 484-nucleotide ribosomal RNA is filed under the name uncultured bacterium. RNAcentral describes it as "partial 16S ribosomal RNA". It matches the Rfam family "Bacterial small subunit ribosomal RNA", at positions 30 to 507 of the family's 1533-position model. The record is from RNAcentral.
AUUGAACGCUGGCGGCAGGCCUAACACAUGCAAGUCGAGCGGAUGAAGGGAGCUUGCUCCUGGAUUCAGCGGCGGACGGGUGAGUAAUGCCUAGGAAUCUGCCUGGUAGUGGGGGAUAACGUCCGGAAACGGGCGCUAAUACCGCAUACGUCCUGAGGGAGAAAGUGGGGGAUCUUCGGACCUCACGCUAUCAGAUGAGCCUAGGUCGGAUUAGCUAGUUGGUGGGGUAAGGGCCUACCAAGGCGACGAUCCGUAACUGGUCUGAGAGGAUGAUCAGUCACACUGGAACUGAGACACGGUCCAGACUCCUACGGGAGGCAGCAGUGGGGAAUAUUGGACAAAGGGCGAAAGCCUGAUCCAGCCAUGCCGCGUGUGUGAAGAAGGUCUUCGGAUUGUAAAGCACUUUAAGUUGGGAGGAAGGGCAGUAAGUUAAUACCUUGCUGUUUUGACGUUACCAACAGAAUAAGCACCGGCUAACAUCGUG